GAUGAACGCUAGCUACAGGCUUAACACAUGCAAGUCGAGGGGCAGCAUGAUUGAAGCUUGCUUCAAUCGAUGGCGGCCGGCGCACGGGUGAGUAACACGUAUCCAACCUGCCGAUAACUCGGGGAUAGCCUUUCGAAAGAAAGAUUAAUACCCGAUAGUAUAGUAUUUCCGCAUGGUUUCACUAUUAAAGAACUUCGGUUAUCGAUGGGGAUGCGUUCCAUUAGAUAGUUGGCGGGGUAACGGCCCACCAAGUCAACGAUGGAUAGGGGUUCUGAGAGGAAGGUCCCCCACAUUGGAACUGAGACACGGUCCAAACUCCUACGGGAGGCAGCAGUGAGGAAUAUUGGUCAAUGGACGAGAGUCUGAACCAGCCAAGUAGCGUGAAGGAUGACUGCCCUAUGGGUUGUAAACUUCUUUUAUACGGGAAUAAAGUGGAGUAUGCAUACUCCUUUGUAUGUACCGUAUGAAUAAGAAUCGGCUAACUCCGUG
Molecule: ribosomal RNA, 489 nt
Filed under: uncultured bacterium
Lineage: Bacteria
Description: partial 16S ribosomal RNA
Rfam family: Bacterial small subunit ribosomal RNA
Source: RNAcentral